UCGAGAAUUUUUCUCAAUGGGGGAAACCCUGAAGGAGCGACGCCGCGUGGGGGAUGAAGGACUUCGGUUCGUAAACCCCUGUCACUUGGGAACAAAAGUUUCAACUUAACACGUUGAAACCUGAUAGUACCAGGAGAGGAAGGCACGGCUAACUCUGUGCCAGCAGCCGCGGUAAUACAGAGGUGCCAAGCGUUGUUCGGAUUUAUUGGGCGUAAAGGGUGCGUAGGCGGUGAUGCAAGUCGGUUGUGAAAUUCCGGAGCCUAACUCCGGAACUGCAUUCGAAACUGCAUCGCUCGAGGUCUGGAGAGGUGAGUGGAAUUCUAGGUGUAGCAGUGAAAUGCGUAGAUAUCUAGAGGAACACCAGAGGCGAAAGCGAAUCACUGGACAGAACCUGACGCUGAGGCACGAAAGCUAGGGGAGCAAACGG
Molecule: ribosomal RNA, 427 nt
Filed under: uncultured bacterium
Lineage: Bacteria
Description: bacterial SSU rRNA
Rfam family: Bacterial small subunit ribosomal RNA
Source: RNAcentral